CUCCAUCACUCCAUCCAUGAAUCUCAGCCUUAACAGCUGAAGGGUCUCUGCAUAUCAAGUCCCACACCGGAAAGUUCUUCCUUGGCAUCAUAAAGUCCUUUUCUUUCAGCCUCAAACUUGGGCAAUAGUCUCCACUGCCAUCUCCAAGAUAGAUCAACCUCUUAUCCUCUUCUGAUAUUGAAUCUUGCAUCCUCUUUAUCACUAAACCCUGCAAUCAUUCAAAUCAAAUUACAUUUUACAAUCAUAAGAUAAUUGCACAUAAUUUUUUAUAUAUUAUGAACUAUUGGUGGGGCCUAGGUCAAAAUUAUUCUUUAUUUUAUACUUCAAUCAAAUCCUGUGGGCUCAUAUCAGAGAGAAAACCAGAAUGGAAUGGUUGGUUGGUUAAGAAAAGUUUUGGUAUUUUUUAAGGCCAACAAAUCAGGUGACAGCACUCCAUUGUUAGUUCUUGUCAACAUAAUUAACAAUAGAAAACAAUACUUUCCCAGAAGCUCAAACCAGUUAACAUCAACUUCAAAACAAUAUCUGGGAAUGUGUACUGUUCCCAACUGUCUAUAUAAAUAGCAGUUUUGAGUUUUUAAACUACCAAGGUGUUUCAAAUCAGCAUUAACUCUCUUAAAAUUUCAACUCUCAACAUGGUUUUGAUAAAUCAAACAGUUCACAUUAUUUCAAAAGAAGUUAUCUUUUAGCAAAGAAAAAUACGGUAGUGGAUGAAAGAUGACAUCUAUAUUUACCUUACACAUGUUUGGAGGACACAAACUGCAGCCAUGAGGAGAUCUGUUGAAAUCAUGGCAAGGUAGAAUCCUUAACCUUCCUUCUUCAUUCACAUAACCGGGGUUAGUAUUGAUCUCUGAGAAAUAUUCCCUUAUUCCUAAGUGCUUCAAAAUUGACUCAAUGAAAAACAAGUUUGCGUCACUCACAAUCCUCAAAUCACACCUGGAAAAACAAAUGCCACCAUAAAUUUAAUCCACAAAAUCACAUUAAAAAAAAGUAACAAAAUUUGCAUGCAUAGUUACAUACCCUGAAGCAUGAGCUGCUUUAACAGCGGGUAUUACCCUGGGGUGCAAGGGAAUCUUAUGCAGAACCUCUUCAAUGUCCUUAAUGGUUUUACCCUGUGAGUGAAGCUCCAUCAUCAUCUUGUCCUAUAAAUCCAAAACCAAAACAAACAAAAAAUAACAAACGGUUAUUCAUACCAUUAACACAAAAUCUAAAAAAAAAAUAUACAAAAAAGGAAGAAAAAAACUAAUUCUUAGAUAUAUUUUAACUGUUCUUGGUUACAUUGCCGCAUUAUUUGUUAAUCUUUAAUGCAAAAAUAAUUUAACCAAAAUUAGAAAAUGAAACUUUAAUGGCAAAGAACACUUAGCAAACAGGCAUGUAAAGUUUGUUCCUAAAGAAAGUGACUACAAAGGCUUACCAUGAGAGUGUUCCAAGGCAUUGUGGGAAGGAGUUGGUUGAACAAAUCUGUGAAACCCAACUCGUCGAUGACCCAGUUGUCGCUGUCGACAUCCACAAUGGUCUUGUCAAAGUCGAAAACAACCACAAUUUCAGACAUGUUUGUUUUGGUGAAUGCAGAAACUCUGAACGGCCCAGAAGAAGAAACCUUCUUCUCAAGAACAAGGCUCUCUUUGGGUGUCUGGUGGUGCUCUCAAGAUCUGCUCUUGGCUUGGAUUGCACCCUGAAAGAGAAUGAAAAGGGUAUUUGUAGUGAAUGUGGGUUAAGAAAACCCCAAAAAAAUGAAUCUUUGAUUCCAAAGGAAUAUUACCUUGCAUAUGGAUUGUUCCUGGAAGAGAAGAAGGUGACCAAGGAAAAAGUUUCAUUUUUAGCCUCAGAAAUUUCUAGCUGUGACAUUUCAAAUUCAAUCUAAGCCGUUGGUUUUGAAGAAUAUUAGGUGGGAAAAAAAUCAGAGGGUUUGGAGAUUGAGCAUAAAUAUGGGAAUAUUCCAUUAGGGAAUUUGAUGCCUUUGAUGUGACUAUGAAACGCGCUACUCCACCAACAAGUUUACAGGUGCAACCCAUCAGAAUAUUUUGGGUAUAGUCCCUUCCCUUCCACAAACAUUUAACUCAUGCAAUCCAUUUUUAUCAAAAUUUCAUUUAUUACAAUCUUAAGUGUAAUAAUGUUCAUUGAAAAUAAAAUAUAUUCUAUAUUAUUAAAUAAAUUAGCAACAUAGUGUGUGUUCAUUAAAUGUCUUCUAUUGUGUGUCUUUCUAGCAUUGUAAUUAUUGUUAGAACACACUUAAUUUGGAGUAAAUAAAUGUGAUUUGGUGAAAAAAAUAGUAUUUACUUUAUGAAAAAAAAAAUUAAAAAAUUAAUUUAUUUACUUUUUACAAAAAAUUAUCCUUUUUAAAAAAAUUAUUUUAUUUCAAUAUCUAAAAUAGUUAUAAUUUCAAUAUAUUCUUUUCAUUUUUUUCGAUUAUAAAUAACCAGCACGUUAUUAUAUUAAGACGGACUAUAGGGGUGAAGGGGAGUCACCUUUUUCUCUUCAAAAUUAUAAUAUAGAUUUUUCUAAAAUAAAAAUUAUUUUUUACGUGUUAAAUUUAAACAAUUUUUUACAUGAAUUAUAUGACUUCUAUAUUAUAGUAUAGCGCAUUUUAUUAUUAGUUUAAAUAUUAAUUCAGACUAUUUACACUCUUGAGAAAAUAUUUAAUCUACAACUUUUUAUAUCCAUACUGUUUAUUCUUAAUUUUAAAAGUUUUAUUCCUUUUAUUAUUACAUUAAAAGAAUAUAUUAUCAAUAAAAGAUCAAAUUUUUUAAAUAAGAUUUCAAAGUAAUUAAAAAAAAACUGAAAAUAUCACUAUUACCUAGGAUGAAUGUUGCAAACACCCCAUAAAAUAUAAACUACGCACACAAUAUACAUUUUUUAUAUUAUCAUAAACUAUAGCAUAGGAGUCUAAUAUAAUAAAUAUAUUUAACUAAAUCAUAUUGAAAUAUAUAAAAUCUAACCGAAGUUCAUAGAAAAUCUUAGAUAUCUCUAUGGAAUAGUAAUGAAAUAACCAUUAAAAAAAUGACUCAAUUAAAAAUUAAAUCAACUUAAAACUAAGCAUAAAUCAUAUAUACUAUAGUUUACUCUAAAGAAUCUAUUUCAUAUCAGUUGUCAUGCAGAAUAAAUUUAUAAUGAAUUUAAGUAUAAAUAAACAGUAGAUAUAUAAGUAUUCUGUUAUUAUCUCAUACUUUUGUCUCCAUAAGUUUUUGAAGAAGAAUAGUAAAAAGAAGAAAAGAAGACUCAGUAAAAAUUCAAUGAAAUCACAAAAAAAAAAUAGAGAGAGACAAAAAAAAAUGGUGGUAUGAUAUUGAUCCAAAAUUAAAGUUGAAGCAAAACAUCAAUAACCAAAGUGUUGUUUGGUAUGUCUGCGGAACACCACCAAGAUUUCUUGUCAAUCAAGAUUAGUCAAAUGUUAUCCAAUGUUCAGAGAAAAAAAAAAAUUCCCAAAGAUGUAUAGAAAACAUGUAUUGGUAUUUGAUAGAAAUUAUAGUGGUCCACAACUUAAGACCAAUUCCAACAUUUAACAUUUGCAACUUUAUUAUAGUAUAAGUUUGGUGAAGGUUAAUUGGGAAAAAAGCUUAAAAGUUACUAUGAUACAUUCUAAACUAAGAACUGGUUAUGGGCGAAGUGGUAGGGCUUUGGGCAAAGCCUCCAAAACAGAGAGUGACAGAGUCUGAAGCUUGCAAUCAGAGGUAAUGAAGGGAGAUUUGUGCUCCAUUGACACUUUGCUGAUCAAUUGCAGCAAUACUUGUUCAAGUUCUUCUCCAUCACUCCAUCCAUGAAUCUCAGCCUUAACAACUGAAGGGUCUUUGCAUAUCAAGUCCCACACUGGAAAGUUCUUCCUUGGCAUCAUAAAGUCCUUCUCUUUCAGCCUCAAACUUGGGCAAUAGUCUCCACUCCCAUCUCCAAGGUAGAUCAACCUCUUAUCCUCUUCUGAUAUUGAAUCUUGCAUCCUCUUUAUCACCAAACCCUGCAAUCAUUCAAAUAAAAUAACAUUUUACAAUCAAAAGAUAAUUAUACAUAAUUUUUUAUUUAUUAUGAACUAUUGGUGGGGCCUAGGUCAAAAUUGUUCUUUAUUUUAUAUUUCAAUCAAAUCCAGUAGGCUCGUAUCAGAGAGAAAACAAGGAUGGCAUGUUUGGUGGUUAAGAAAAUAUUUGGUAUUUUUUAAGGCCAAGAAUUCAGGAGACAAGUUCCAUUAUAGGAUCAAUUCAUGACUCAUAAACACUUGAGCCACGUUAGGAGCAAUCUUUGUGAUUAAAAAUGGAAAAAAUAGUGUUCCAUCAGCUAGAGCCAGUUAAGAACAACUUGAAAACAAUAUCUAGAAACGUGUAUUGUUGCCAACUGUUGUAUACAUUUAAGAAACUUUUCAUCAUGAUUUAGACAAAUGACAAAACAAGAUAGAAAAAGGAAGUUGUGUAUUUACCUUGCACAUGUUUGGAGGGCACAAAGUGCAGCCAUGGGAAGCUUUGUUGAAAUCAUGGUAAGGAAGAAUCCUUAACCUCCCUUCUUCAUUCACAUAACCGGGGUUAGUAUUGAUCUCUGAGAAAUAUUCCCUUAUUCCCAAAUGCUUCAAAAUAGUCUCAAUGAAAUACGUGUUUGCAUCACUCAGAAUCCUCAAAUCACACCUGAAAAACAAAUGCCACCGUAAAUUUAAUCCACGAAUCAUAUUUACCAAAAAAAUAAAUAAAAGAAGAUGAUCAUAAUUUUGUAUGAGAGAUGCAGAGUUACGUACCCUAAAGCAUGAGCUGCUUUAAUAGCAGGAAUAACUCUGGGGUGCAAGGGAAUCUUAUGCAGAACCUCUUCAAUGUCCUUCAUGCUUUUACCAUGUGAAUGAAGCUCCUUCAUCAUUGUGUCCUUUAAAAAACCAAAAAAAACAAAAAAACUCGGUUAUUCAUGUCAUUCAAAUCAUGCAUUCUGCAAAGUUCAGUUUAAACAAAACAGAGUAUAAACCCAAAAAAUGUGGCAACAAAAAGGCUUACCAUGAGAGUGUUCCAAGGCAUGGUGGGAAGAAGCUGGUUGAACAAAUCGGUGAAACCCAAUUCAUCGACGACCCAGUUGUCGCUGUCGACAUCCACAAUGGUUUUGUCGAAGUCGAAAACAACCACGAUUCCAGACAUUAUCUGUUUUGGGGAAUGAAAAAAAGAAACCUUCUUUCUGAAGAAUAAGGCUCUGUUUGGGUGUGUGUAUAGUGCUCUGAAGAUUGGUGGUUCUUGGCUUGGUUCUACAAUGGAAAGAAAAAGGGUUAUUUAUAGUAAUGGUGAAUGAAUGAAGAAAAAAAGAAUCUUAGAUUCCAAAGGAAUAUUACACGGAUACUUCGUGGUAGCAAAGAUGGAGGCUCAAAAUUAAAAACACAAAUGUGGCCGUUUUAUUUUACACUCAUCCAAAACCUUUCGGUGCGUUUAAAAUUCAAUCUAGACCGUUGGAUGAAAUCAUAUAGGUAGGCGAAAGGAUCGGAGGGCGUAGGUGGAUUGGACCUAAGAGUAAAACACGGGAAUAUUGACAGGGAAUUGGAUGCACUUGAGGAGCCUCACCUGAGUGUGUGAAAUCCACUUCUCACAAACGCAUGAGAAUAUUCUGAGUAUAGUCCGUUCAGUUAAUUUCGCCAAUUUCAUUUUUUUUUCUGUUAUGAAUUAAUAAAUAUUGGAUUUUAGAAUCAAUAUUUACCUCUAUAUAGAUAAAUUCUUUUUAGAUUUAUAAUAAAUUAAAAUAAUGUAAUAUAUUGUAAUCAAAUGGUUUUGAUUGAUGAUGUCUUUUGAAAAAUUAUAGAAUAUUACUCAAAAAUUCAAGAUGAUAAAAAAGUAAAUUGGUAGAGAUAACCAAUUCAGAAAAUAAGUAUCAUGAUAAAAAUAAAAAAUAAAAGUGUGAUUUGAAAGGAUUUUUUUAAUAUUGUUUUUAUAUUAAAGUAAAAAGAAAUAGAUAAAGUUAGUUUUUAUUUAUAUAUUGUUAAGACUAUUAUGAUUUGAUAAAUUAUUGAUGUCUAUCAUUCUCAUCACAUAUUAGUUAGACAUAAAUUAACCAAUAUUGAUAGAGUAUCUUUUUUAUGUAUGUGAACUCAAUUUUUCAAUUUAUAUAUUUUUCAAAAUUUCUAUAGUGAUUUUUUAUCAUCUGACACCAAUUUUUUUUAAUAAUUUAUUAAUUUUUUUGUUUCAAUGUGAAAUGAAAAGCAAUUAUAUUAAUAUUAACGAAAUUUUUUACCAAUAUUAAAUGAAAGAAAUUUUCAAUUGAUAUUAAUUGAAUAGUCAUAAGAAAAAUUAUUUAAAAAAUUAUAAAAAUCAUUUUGAUGUUAAUCUAAAUAAUUGUAGAAAACCCACAAAAUUAAGAAGAAACUUUAUCAAUGUUAUUAGAAAUUUAUUAUAAAUUAUUUUAUAUUUAAAUAAUUUUAUAUAAAUACUAAUUUAAAUAUUUUAUACAAAAUUAAUAAAUUUAAAUUACCUUGUUGAGAUAAACGUUUAAACAAUGAGAUCAAUUUAAAUUUUAUAUAUUUAAUUUUUUAAAAUUAUAAUAUUACUUAUCCAAACAAAGAUUAUGAUAUUUUUUUAAUAUACUUUGAUUUAUUAAAUAUGUUGUUACGUUUGGAGUUAUUUUUAACAUAUUAAUGAUAUUUAUUUGAUAUUCAAAUAUAUUAUUUAUACUUAUUCAACUAACAACAUUUAAAUCAUACUCUUCAAAUGACUUUACCAAAUUUUCAUUUUUUAUUCGUUCUCCUAAACUUACAUAAAAAGAUAAAUAUUGUGUAAAUAAUCUUUUAUCUAAUUAACUAUUAAAGUUUUAGCUACUAAUUGUUUUAUAUUCGAAAGUUGAUAAUUAAAAUCUUAAUAGUUAAUUAAAUAUUAAUUUAAAAAAUUAAUUUAUUAAUUUUAUUAAUAAUAGAAAUUACUUUUGAUAUUAAUAACUUUUUUAGUCUUUAAAAUAAUAUAUAAUUUAAUCACUAGUGAUUGAUUAUUUAUUAUUUCUAAAAUUAGUUUCUAUUUAUUAAUUUUUUUUAGUAAAAGUUAUAUAUUUUAAAAAAAAACUUUAAAUUUAAAUUAAUCAUACAAAAUCAAUUCAAUUUGUAAGGUGAGAUUUAACUCCACUGCUUUUUCUAACAUAAAUAAUAUAUAAAUUUCACAUUAAUAACUUAUUAACAAAUUUAUAUAAAAGAAUAAUAUUUAAUAUAAAAUAUUAAGAUGAUAGAGUUAUAAUUUUCUACUUGCAUAUUAUUUAUUUUACAAAAUUUUAAUAAAAGGAACUAACACUAAAGGAAAAAAUGGUUUUAACGGGGUAUUUAUUUUUAUAUUAUUCAUGAUUAAAAUCUCUAUUAAGUCAUUUACCUAGUGUUGCAGUUUUCUCGUUAAACCAUCCCUCAGCAAGGUGUUUUCUGGGUUUUUUUAAACCUCAGGACAAAUCUUUCAAAACUCUUAUUAAAUAUCAUGGGUUUAGAAACCUCCGUAAAAUACCAGGGGUUUCAAAAACCUUUGUUAAAUACCAUGGGUUUAAAAUUUUUUGUAAAAUAUCAUGGGUUUCAAAACCUCUGGUAAAUACCAUGAGUUUAAGAACUUUCAUAAAAUACCACGAGUUUCAAAAUUUUCGUAAAAUGACUUGUCGUCUGAAAUAACCUUCAACCUUAUUUUUCACCAUCUCUAACGAUCCUCCUGACUUCUUUAUUCCAUCAUAGACACACUUGUCCCCGACACAAGCUCAAUAGCCACCAACGACAGUCCUAGCAAGGAAUCAUAAUUUAGUCACACCUAUGUCUAUUAUACCUAAGGAAAAAUAAGGCACUAUCAUUGUUUCUUCCAUCACCUUACUACCUCAACUUGGGUCACAAGUCAUUCUUACCUAGCUCGACAACAGUUGAUGUUUAUCACUGCUUUAUAUAUCCUAAAUAAUUGUAUUAUCUGUUAGAUGUGGACUUCAAAGUCAUGUGUGUAAAAUAAAUUUUUGAAAACUUAGAAAACUUAUUGUAUUGUAAAGUUAUGCUUUUAAAAUUUUAGAAAAUUUAGUUAUAAAAUAUAUUGAAACUAUAUAGUUUUUAAUGGUUUAUUUAUAAAUAGAUUUAAUUAUACUUAUUUAUUAAAGUUUGAAAAAUCUGGAGCAUUUUAUUGAAGUUCUACCAUAAAUCUUUGAAAUUUAACAAAGGUUAAAAAAACUUUCAUUGUCUUGUUGAGAUUUUAGAAUAAAUCUUUAGAACUUAACGAAGGUUAAAAAAAUCUCCGUUAUUUUGCUGAAAUUUUAGAAUAACCUUGGAACUUAAUGAAUUAUUACAAAGUGGAAUUUAAACUUAACUCAACUCCAUAAAAUCAGCUCAUGAAGUGAGGUUUGCACCCACUUAUAUAUAAUGAAAUGCCUUAAUCUAUAGUCGAUGAGGGAUCUUCAACUUAAAUGUUAAAAAACUUUCAUAAUUAAAUUAAUUUCUAAAAUUAAAUUAAGUUACUCUCAAUAAUCUCUGUUAAAACUUUUUUUUUAAGUGUAAUAGAUCACAUAUUCACAUGAAACAUGUCUAAAUCAGAUGCAAUGACAAAGGAGGUCUUGUUAAUGUCCGAAACACUUGUUAUAAUUAACAUUUGAGUAUUAUUAUUAUUAACAUGUGUUUGAUUGUGGUGUGAUCAUAUUGAUGCAUUAAUUAAAGUUUUAUUAUUAUUAUUAUUAUCUUCUUGGCGAGUUCUUAUAUCAUCAGAGUAUAAGAAAUGGUUUUGACCUACUAAUGGAAAAUUAUGAUUCUGCCACCAUUUUUGGUCGAGUUUUUUAAUCCUCUGAUUCUAUAUCUGAGGUUACAUUACCAUUAGCUGGAGAUGACCAAACAAGGGUCCCAACAUGCAUGCAUGUUGUUUUUCAACGCCAUUAAUGCUAGUGUUUCUUAAGUAUUCUUUAGUAUGUCAGCGGAACACCAAGAUUUCUGGUCAAUAAGAUUCUAGUCAAAUGUUUUCCACAGUAAAACAAAACAAUGUUCAGAGCAUAAAAUAUUCCCAAAAGAUGUAUAGAAAACAUGUAUUGGUAUUUGAUAGAAAUUAUAGUGGUCCACAACUUAAGACCAAUUCCAACAUUAACAUUGGCAACUUUAUUAUAGUAUAGCUUUGGUGAAGGUUAAUUGGAAAAAAAGCUUUAAAGUUAUUAUGAUACAUUUUUUUCAAAUACACUAAACUAAGAAGUGGUUAUGGGCGAAGUGGUAGGCCUUUGGGCAAAGCCUCCAAAACGGAGGCUGACAGAGUCUGAAGCUUGCAGUCAGAGGAAACGAAGGGAGAAUUGUGCUCCAUUGAUAUUUUGUUGAUCAAUUGCAGCAAAACCUGUUCAAGUUCUUCUGCAUCACUCCAUCCAUGAAUCUCAGCCUUAACAACUGAAGGGUCUUUGCAUAUCAAGUCCCACACUGGAAAGUUCUUCCUUGGCAUCAUAAAGUCCUUCUCUUUCAGCCUCAAACUUGGGCAAUAGUCUCCACUCCCAUCUCCAAGGUAGAUCAUCCUCUUAUCCUCUUCUGAUAUUGAAUCUUGGAUUCUCUUUAUCACUAAACCCUGCAAUCAUUCAAAUAAAAUUACAUUUUACAAUCAUAAGUAUCGGUGGGACCUAG
This 9517-nucleotide long non-coding RNA is filed under the name Phaseolus vulgaris (common bean). Its description in RNAcentral is "long non-coding RNA (PVUL_LNC000934)". Lineage: Eukaryota; Viridiplantae; Streptophyta; Magnoliopsida; Fabales; Fabaceae. The record is from RNAcentral.